GGGCUCGCCCACGAUAGGACUCCACUGCGCCCCUGCCUCACUGGCGAUUUAGCGCCCCCUUCCUUUGGUCCUUCUGAACCCUUGCUGUCCCGUUCUGCUGAGAGCGCAGGGCUGGCCAGGGUGCUGUGCCAUCUUGGAGACGCCUGUCCCUCUUCACUCCUUGGUCCAGGAUCUCUCCACUGACUUCACACACGUGUUCGUUCCUCUGUUGAAUCUGCUGCACCAGCUCUGUAAAACAUGAAAGCUUCCUGCUAACCCAGGCGCCAAAGGGAGCAAGGGCAGAGCUAAGGUGAUCUAGAAGACAUACAGGGGCAUCAUUUCCACAUUUCACAGAUGAUGUCAAACUCUUUUCUAAAGAGUCUUUCCUGAUUUAUAUUUGCUCCCGCAGUACGUGAGAAGUUCUACUGAUUCACAUUUUGACGAGUAUCUUCAAAACUGUCUCAAUAUGCAGUGAACAGACUGAAACAGGUGAAACCUACACGGAAACAACAGAGUAGAAGCACUCUUUAUUUAAGUUUGAUGGCACCUGCUCUCAGUGUUUCUUUGCAAGCAAGUAUUUUGGUGUCCUUCAGCUCUCUACAAUUAAUUGGUCUAUUCAGCCACAUUCUAAAGCUGUGAGAACUGAAAGAAAAGCCACAUGCAGCGAUCCCGAUCCAGCCUCAGUCACCACUGC
This 673-nucleotide long non-coding RNA is filed under the name Fukomys damarensis (Damara mole-rat). Its description in RNAcentral is "lncRNA (ENSFDAG00000024270.1)". Lineage: Eukaryota; Metazoa; Chordata; Mammalia; Rodentia; Bathyergidae. The record is from RNAcentral.